Molecule: ribosomal RNA, 346 nt
Filed under: Culicoides herero
Lineage: Eukaryota; Metazoa; Arthropoda; Insecta; Diptera; Ceratopogonidae
Description: partial 16S ribosomal RNA
Source: RNAcentral
GGCUUGUAUGAAUGGUUGAAUGAGAUAUAAGCUAUUUAUAUUUAAUUAAAAAUGAAUUUUAAUUGUUAAUAAAAAUGUUAACAUAAAAAAAAAAGACGAGAAGACCCUAUAAAUCUUUAUUUUAAAUUUAUUAAAAAUUAUUAUGAAAAUUAUUAUUUUUAUUAAAUCAAAAAUUUUAUUGGGGUGAUAAUGAAAUUUAAUAAACUUUUAUUUUAUUUUUCAAUUAUAUUUGGUUAAUUGAUCCAUUUUUAAUGAUUAAAAAAUUAAGUUACUUUAGGGAUAACAGCGUAAUUAUUUUUUAGAGUUCUUAUCGAUAAAAUAGUUUGCGACCUCGAUGUUGAAUUAA